RNAcentral lists this unclassified non-coding RNA (404 nucleotides) under soil metagenome. RNAcentral describes it as "partial contains 5.8S ribosomal RNA, internal transcribed spacer 2, and large subunit ribosomal RNA". The stretch from base 1 to 122 matches the Rfam family "5.8S ribosomal RNA", at positions 35 to 154 of the family's 154-position model. The record is from RNAcentral.
GAUGAAGAACGUAGCAAAAUGCGAUACUUGGUGUGAAUUGCAGAAUCCCGUGAACCAUCGAGUUUUUGAACGCAAGUUGCGCCCGAAGCCUUUUGGCCGAGGGCACGUCUGCCUGGGCGUCACGCAUCGCGUCGCCCCCCACAACUCUCCGUAAAGGGAACUUGUGUUUUGGGGGCGGAUAUUGGUCUCCCGUGCUCAUGGCGUGGUUGGCCGAAAUAGGAGUCCCUCCGGUGGACGCACGAACUAGUGGUGGUCGUAAAAGCCCUCGUCUUUUGUUUCGUGCCGUUAGUCGCGAGGGAAACUCUUUAAAAACCCAAAUGUGUCGUCUCUUGACGGCGCUUCGACCGCGACCCCAGGUCAGGCGGGACUACCCGCUGAGUUUAAGCAUAUCAAUAAGCGGAGGA